This 876-nucleotide ribosomal RNA is filed under the name Salmonella enterica. RNAcentral describes it as "partial 23S ribosomal RNA". The record is from RNAcentral. Lineage: Bacteria; Pseudomonadati; Pseudomonadota; Gammaproteobacteria; Enterobacterales; Enterobacteriaceae.
CCGGAGAAUGUUAUCACGGGAGACACACGGCGGGUGCUAACGUCCGUCGUGAAGAGGGAAACAACCCAGACCGCCAGCUAAGGUCCCAAAGUCAUGGUUAAGUGGGAAACGAUGUGGGAAGGCCCAGACAGCCAGGAUGUUGGCUUAGAAGCAGCCAUCAUUUAAAGAAAGCGUAAUAGCUCACUGGUCGAGUCGGCCUGCGCGGAAGAUGUAACGGGGCUAAACCAUGCACCGAAGCUGCGGCAGCGAACGUAUCACUUAAAGCGAUUCAGCGGGUUACGAUURACGGAGCGAAGCGACGUCAAAGCGUAUACAAAGUCGAGUCGGUUUAAGGAUACGUUCGUUGGGUAGGGGAGCGUUCUGUAAGCCUGUGAAGGUGGCCUGUGAGGGUUGCUGGAGGUAUCAGAAGUGCGAAUGCUGACAUAAGUAACGAUAAAGCGGGUGAAAAGCCCGCUCGCCGGAAGACCAAGGGUUCCUGUCCAACGUUAAUCGGGGCAGGGUGAGUCGACCCCUAAGGCGAGGCCGAAAGGCGUAGUCGAUGGGAAACGGGUUAAUAUUCCCGUACUUGGUGUUACUGCGAAGGGGGGACGGAGAAGGCUAUGUUGGCCGGGCGACGGUUGUCCCGGUUUAAGCGUGUAGGUGUGUGUUCCAGGUAAAUCCGGUUCACUUUAACACUGAGGCGUGAYGACGAGGCACUACGGUGCUGAAGCAACAAAUGCCCUGCUUCCAGGAAAAGCCUCUAAGCAUCAGGUAACAUCAAAUCGUACCCCAAACCGACACAGGUGGUCAGGUAGAGAAUACCAAGGCGCUUGAGAGAACUCGGGUGAAGGAACUAGGCAAAAUGGUGCCGUAACUUCGGGAGAAGGCACGCUGACA